This is a long non-coding RNA of Mirounga angustirostris (Northern elephant seal), 927 nucleotides long. RefSeq lists it as uncharacterized. The record is from RefSeq and is a predicted model, not a curated record. The transcript is spliced from 4 exons. Lineage: Eukaryota; Metazoa; Chordata; Mammalia; Carnivora; Phocidae.
CCAUCUGAAGCACCUUCUCGCAGUCCUUUCCGCAAUGAAAGUUCCUUUAUUUAUCCAGCACGAAAGGGCCAAAGAGACAGGUUUAUCCUCUCACCCAACGAUCCUUUUCUGAGACAGUUCAUCAGAAACAUGGAGAACACAGAGCCUUGCUCGGGAAGGAAGGUUCAGAGAACAAAUCGUCUGUAAACUAUUGGGCAGGACUUGCCUCUUCCAAAGCUAAAAAUGGUGAAGAAAGAUGAUCUUCUUUGGAACUUGGGCUUGAACGUGUUUAUAGGUCUUAGCCCAUUGCGCGGUGUCAUCUCGGGUAAGAAAGGGCUGAAGCGAAGUCUGAGUUGGAUCCUCCUGAUAACACCAAGAAGAGUGUCUCCCCUUUUCCCAAGAACUAGGGAGUAUACUUAACAAGACAAGGGUGAAGUUCCGCAUGUGGAGGGUAACAAAAAUGGACCCAGCCACUGAUAGGAGCUGCUCAUUUCACCUAAAGUAAUCUGUUGUUUUCUGUGCUCUGAAGGUGGUGACCUCAGUGUCCACAAUGGGACGUCCGUGAGUGUUUGCUAGGUUUUGAGACUGAGUGCGCCAAGCCGGUGGAUAGCAUUUCUUCUCCUGGUAGGCCAGGGAAACAUUGAGAUUACUUCAGCAAAAAAUAACUUUUUGGCCAAUAUGUAUCAUCACUCAGAGAUGCAGCCGGUCAAGUUAACAAAGAAAACAGAUAUUUAGUCCUGAAGAAGCUUGGUUAAACUUUUGCUUUAUCUUUUUAUAUCUUGAUACGGUCAUAUGGAAAUAGGUUAUUUCCUCACACUACUUGGCACCUGCUCUGCAAUUGUUUUUGUACUUAUUUGCCUGCUCUGUGAGAUCAUAAGCUUCAUGAGGACAGUUUUUUCUCAUCAUUACAUCCUCGAUACAAUAAAAUUUUUUUGAAGAAAUGAAUAA